RNAcentral lists this non-coding RNA (550 nucleotides) under Homo sapiens (human). Lineage: Eukaryota; Metazoa; Chordata; Mammalia; Primates; Hominidae. The record is from RNAcentral.
UAGCUGUGUAUCCGAGUCUCCUGGGGCACUUUUUAAAACAAUGCAGAUUCCUUGGAUGUAGUAUAGACUCAGUCAAUUUAAAUCUCUAAGAGGGCGAUCAGGACAUAUGUUUUAUCUUCUCUUUUUUUUUUUUAAGUUUCACAGAGGAUUGAAUAUACAGUUAGGAUUAAGAAUCACUGAGAUGAAUGAUUCUAUGCCACUUACAAUAGACAUAAGUAAGGCUAUUAUUAAACCAACUCAUAUAAAUUAUCAUCCAUCCAAGUCUUCAUUUUGCCUAUGUAAGAUAAUUUUUAAUGAUGUCUAAAUGUUUAGAUUGUUUUAAAUUCAGAAAUCAGGGAAAAAUAAUAACAAAUAAUUUUUUAGUCGUUGUAACACUUUAGUGAUCCCCUUCAAAUUGUCAAGGAAGAAGAAAGUUAACAUUGGUGUUGAGACACCAAUGAAGAAAUUAAUGGCUUGAAAAUAAAAUUGGAGGAAAUUAUUAAACUUAUCCUUAAAACUAAGUUGUAUAGUAGCAACUUAACUGCCACAGUAACAAUGUGACUCUCGUAGG